This is a long non-coding RNA of Diabrotica virgifera virgifera (western corn rootworm), 1198 nucleotides long. RefSeq lists it as uncharacterized. The transcript is spliced from 2 exons. The record is from RefSeq and is a predicted model, not a curated record. NCBI's taxonomy places the organism in Eukaryota, Metazoa, Arthropoda, Insecta, Coleoptera, Chrysomelidae.
GUAGCAGAUGGAUUUCUACUACAAUAUUUUAUAAAAAAUAUCCAUUAAUUUUAAUCCUAUCCCAAGAAAAAUAUCAAUUUUUCUAAUUUAUUUUGUCAGUUUAAAUAUCUUUAAAAUUUCCUAAGCCGCUCCUGUUCGAAAUAUUUCAGAAUAUUUUCGCAACAAAGUAAAAUCAUAGGAAAGUUCCUAUUUAUUUGAGUAGCAUUUACCAACUACGUAGAUAGUUAUUGUGAAAUCAUUCAUUAUUCGAGAAUGAAUCCUCUAAAAGGUUUGGUGUUUUUCCUUUAAGUUUUGAGCGAUAAAAAUCCCAUGUUAUUAUUGGUCUGCAUUUUGAAAGAUCCUUGAGUUGUAGUUGACGAUUGGUCAAUAGUUUUGGCCGAAAGAUCGAGAAGAAAUGCAUCGUUUGGACGCGAGAGAGACGUGACGAUGUAAAGUUAGUUCUAAAAGUACAUCAGCUCUGUAAGCAUCUUUUUGUUAGAACUCAAAAAGUCGCACUUUGCCGGCCAAAAUGGUUUUCUUCUUAUAGUAAAAGAACUAAUGGAUUUCUAACAUGUCAAGGAAUAUAAUGACAAUAGUUUCACGGCAUUUUAAUGGAUAUAUUAUUGUGAAACAGUUCUAUUGUUAUGCAGUUUGAUUUGCCGGUAAAAGAAGUGCGUGGUUUCCUGGUUCCUGUCCUUUAUGUAGCUGUUGCUAUUUUUAUGAUGUUUUGAUUUGUUCAUGUUCCAGUAAGAAAUGCCCAGAUGAUAUUAUUUGGUAUCGAUUUUAUCCAGUUUUGUAAUGAUUUGAAUAUCUUCCCCUCCCAGCCCCGUCUGAAUGGAAAAUUUUGAAGUUCCAAGUGUUGUGACAUGGAUUUUUGUUUUAACAAGUUUUAGAACAGAAGAAAAUAUAAUGGCAUAGAAGCCAAAUGAUGAUAAUUUGUAGCCCACUAUAACCCCAACGAGGAAUCUACGAUGAAUGUCCCCCAGUUGCUUUCCAGUAAGUACUCGAUAUGAGAAUUUGAGGAUUUUUCAAACGGCGUCCCAAUUUGUUUAAAUAGUAGGAAAGUCCUCAAGUCUGUUAAGAAAUGCCCAGAUGAUAUUAUUUGGUAUCGAUUUUAUCCAGUUUUGUAAUGAUUUGAAUAUCUUCCCCUCCCAGCCCCGUCUGAAUGGAAAAUUUUGAAGUUCCAAGUGUUGUGACAUGGAUUUUUGUUUUAACAAGU